AUUGAACGCUGGCGGCAUGCUUUGCACAUGCAAGUCGAACGGUAACAGGCCGCAAGGUGCUGACGAGUGGCGAACGGGUGAGUAAUGCAUCGGAACGUGCCCAGUCGUGGGGGAUAACUACUCGAAAGAGUAGCUAAUACCGCAUACGAUCUAUGGAUGAAAGCGGGGGACCGUAAGGCCUCGCGCGAUUGGAGCGGCCGAUGUCAGAUUAGGUAGUUGGUGGGGUAAAGGCUCACCAAGCCAACGAUCUGUAGCUGGUCUGAGAGGACAACCAGCCACACUGGGACUGAGACACGGCCCAGACUCCUACGGGAGGCAGCAGUGGGGAAUUUUGGACAAAGGGCGCAAGCCUGAUCCAGCAAUGCCGCGUGCAGGAAGAAGGCCUUCGGGUUGUAAACUGCUUUUGUACGGAACGAAACGGCUCUGGUUAAUACCCGGGGCUAAUGACGGUACCGUAAGAAUAAGCACCGGCUAACUACGUG
This 482-nucleotide ribosomal RNA is filed under the name uncultured bacterium. RNAcentral describes it as "partial 16S ribosomal RNA". It matches the Rfam family "Bacterial small subunit ribosomal RNA", at positions 30 to 507 of the family's 1533-position model. The record is from RNAcentral.